CCUGUGUAUCUCAAGCAACAAAGAGAGCUGUGGAGCAAGGAGAUUCCCUGUGUAAUCGGGAGCACUGGAUGUGAAUCCCAGGUCUGGCAUGGGAACCUUGGAAUUCAUAGCAGAUUCUUAUUUUUAGUAAAACCCUACCAUUUAUAAAAGAGGAAAUUAUGGCAAGCAUUUUAUUCAUUACUCACUAGUGUUUUUUUUUUUAUCAUUGAGAAUACUCAGUGAGUGAUGCUGAGUGGAAUGUUACGUAUCACCAUCAUCAUCAGCAUCCAUCCCACCACCAUCAUCACAACCACCACCACCACCAUCAUCAUCAUCAUCAUCAUCAACAGCUUUUUCCAAGCAAGUCUGGAAUAAGAAGAGAAGUCGGAGGAUUUAGGCUUUGUACUUCCUGGCAGCCCCAGCCCCUGAGGCUCAUGCGAUCCUGCUCACCUUCUCUCCCUGACCCCGAACCCUAAGGGGCUCCCGCACUCCAGAUCGUAGCUGGCUCUUCUCUAUUCUUUUCCUUAUUCCAGCCAUUAGAGUCUUUUGGGACUGGCUUCUCAACCUUUGUCACAUUGGGCUUGAUAUUUUUAGUUUCUUUCAGUGGUAAAUAUUAGAUUAUUCAGAAAAAUUGUUGUCCCAGAUUUCCACACA
Molecule: long non-coding RNA, 633 nt
Filed under: Homo sapiens (human)
Lineage: Eukaryota; Metazoa; Chordata; Mammalia; Primates; Hominidae
Description: long non-coding RNA NONHSAT171905.1
Source: RNAcentral